GACGAACGCUGGCGGCGUGCCUAAUACAUGCAAGUAGAACGCUGAAGAGGGGAGCUUGCUCUUCUUGGAUGAGUUGCGAACGGGUGAGUAACGCGUAGGUAACCUGCCUUGUAGCGGGGGAUAACUAUUGGAAACGAUAGCUAAUACCGCAUAACAAUGGAUGACACAUGUCAUUUAUUUGAAAGGGGCAAUUGCUCCACUACAAGAUGGACCUGCGUUGUAUUAGCUAGUAGGUGAGGUAACGGCUCACCUAGGCGACGAUACAUAGCCGACCUGAGAGGGUGGUCGGCCAACCUGGGACUGAGACACGGCCCAGACUCCUACGGGAGGCAGCAGUAGGGAAUCUUCGGCAAUGGGGGCCACCCUGACCGAGCAACUCCGCGUGAGUGAAGAAGGUUUUCGGCUCGUAAAGCUCUGUUGUAAGUCAAGAACGAGUGUGAGAGUGGAAAGUUCACACUGUGACGGUAGCUUACCAGAAAGGGACGGCUAACUACGUG
RNAcentral lists this ribosomal RNA (497 nucleotides) under uncultured bacterium. Its description in RNAcentral is "partial 16S ribosomal RNA". It matches the Rfam family "Bacterial small subunit ribosomal RNA", at positions 28 to 507 of the family's 1533-position model. The record is from RNAcentral.